Molecule: ribosomal RNA, 409 nt
Filed under: bacterium
Lineage: Bacteria
Description: partial 16S ribosomal RNA
Rfam family: Bacterial small subunit ribosomal RNA
Source: RNAcentral
UGGGGAAUAUUGCACAAUGGGCGAAAGCCUGAUGCAGCGACGCCGCGUGAGGGAUGACGGCCUUCGGGUUGUAAACCUCUUUCAGCAGGGACGAAGCGCAAGUGACGGUACCUGCAGAAGAAGCACCGGCUAACUACGUGCCAGCAGCCGCGGUAAUACGUAGGGUGCAAGCGUUGUCCGGAAUUACUUGGCGUAAAGAGUUCGUAGGCGGUUUGUCGCGUCGUUUGUGAAAACCAGCAGCUCCACUGCUGGCUUGCAGGCGAUACGGGCAGACUUGAGUACUGCAGGGGAGACUGGAAUUCCUGGUGUAGCGGUGAAAUGCGCAGAUAUCAGGAGGAACACCGGUGGCGAAGGCGGGUCUCUGGGCAGUAACUGACGCUGAGGAACGAAAGCGUGGGUAGCGAACAGG